GGAGAUCAGCUUCCUCUCCCCGGGGAAUAAGACUCAGUACAGGGUGCUGUGCCACUUAAAUGAGUGAGUUAGAAGCGUCCACAGGGGGCCUGGUGCCGAGUCUCCCACUUCCCCUUCUGUUUCACAGAAGGAUUGCUUCCUUCAAGGAAAAAUCUCACUGGUGUGAGCCUCCAGGCAACAGCAGGAGUUAAAAAUCAACUCUUAGGCCAAGUCGUUCCUGCCUGAGGGUCCUGUUCGGUCUCUCCUCCACAAGCUCUCGAAAUCCCUCCCUGGCCCCUGGCCCUUGCUGAUCUCCCCAUGCUUUGGCCUCUCCCACAAGCCGGGGAGCUCCUGGAAGGUAGGACUUUGAGCCUCCAGGCUCUGAAUUGGGAUCUAGCCUGGAGUAGGUGCCCCAGGCACGUAACUGAGCAUAACCAAACACGUUAUGAACAAGAACCUCUCACUCUUCUGACAAACACCAUACUGACCACUAUCAAUAGCCCUUUGUUGCUUGCUGAUUGGAAAAAGGCUAGGAUUGUGUUAAUACAUUAUCCUUCUUUUGUAGUCCCCAGAGGGUUUUCAUGGAUGCUUUUUGGGUGGUUAAAAUAAUCUCUUCUUUGAAUAUAUCUACUGCCUGCAGCUCCUGGGACCUGUGGAUACUUUUUCUAAAGCAAUCAAACUGAAGUUAGCCAUUGUUUCCUCCUUCCCACUCUAAUACCUGUCCUGCUCAUGUUGAGAACAGCUUCAUACAGUCAUAAUCUGGUCCCCUCACCCCACUCCCUGUCCAAAUGGACAAAACCACAUGUGGCCAGUGGCCAGGCUGGGCUUGGGCUAAAUGAGGAGAAAAGGGAACAAGGUGGGAGUGGUGGGGGUGUGCAGAGGAAACAGGAGAAGGGGGAAGGAAGGGUGAGGCAGGAGGUGAAGGAAAGGAGAGAGAGGAGAGAAGGAGAUGGAGUCCGUGGUCGGCUCUGUUUGCCUGGCCAUGUCCACUCAAGCCUCUGCCAGCUGUACCCAGGUGGAGCCCCCAGGGUGGUCAGAUUCGGCAAGGUUCACAGGUUCCCUCUGCCUCCUGUCUCAGGCACCAUCAUGGCAGCCUCAAGCCCUCCCUGCCCUCUAAGCUGCUGGCUUCCUGCUCUCAUCUGGAGGCUCUCCCAGGUGUGUCUGCACCUAAUCUGUUGUUUGAUUAAUGUCCACCAGGUCCAGGCUACUUCUGGGGCUGCUGUCCAGGUUCCCGCAGGCGGGUUUUUCUCAAGUGCCAAGUGCUGA
This 1245-nucleotide long non-coding RNA is filed under the name Capra hircus (goat). RNAcentral describes it as "lncRNA (ENSCHIG00010018794.1)". The record is from RNAcentral. Lineage: Eukaryota; Metazoa; Chordata; Mammalia; Artiodactyla; Bovidae.